GGCAGUGUGGUGUAGUGGUUUGAACAUUGGAUUAUGACUCUGGAGAUCAGGGUUCAAUUCCCCAUCUACCU
This is a non-coding RNA of Phrynosoma platyrhinos (Desert horned lizard), 71 nucleotides long. Lineage: Eukaryota; Metazoa; Chordata; Lepidosauria; Squamata; Phrynosomatidae. The record is from the annotation of a GenBank genome assembly.